RNAcentral lists this long non-coding RNA (321 nucleotides) under Salvia miltiorrhiza (redroot sage). RNAcentral's name for it is "long non-coding RNA (SMIL_LNC003245)". Lineage: Eukaryota; Viridiplantae; Streptophyta; Magnoliopsida; Lamiales; Lamiaceae. The record is from RNAcentral.
CCCAUUUUUUCAAUUCCAAAACUAAUAAUUCUUCCAAACUUUUUAAAAAAUAAGUUUGCAAAAUUUCUCGUGAAAGCUUAAAGCCCAACAAAUUCCGACCCAUUAACAAAUCAACCAAACUAAUUCCUAGAAACAAAAAAGGGUAAAUCUCAGUAGCUAAUCGACACAACAUCAUGGAUUCAUGGCGGUGAAUCUCAUUUUUUUCUCAGCAAUUUUUCGUUCUUGGCAACUUAAUUUUACAAUGAGAUUAGAGGAGAUUUUGGUCAUUUCUGAAAUAAAUAUUUUAUCUAGAUUUAAAAAUGUUGGAAUCCCACCUUUCCC